UGGCGGACGGGUGAGUAACGCGUGGGUAACCUGCCUCACACUGGGGGACAACAGUUAGAAAUGACUGCUAAUACCGCAUAAGCGCACAGGACCGCAUGGUCCGGUGUGAAAAACUCCGGUGGUGUGAGAUGGACCCGCGUUUGAUUAGCUAGUUGGUGGGGUAACGGCCUACCAAGGCGACGAUCAAUAGCCGACCUGAGAGGGUGACCGGCCACAUUGGGACUGAGACACGGCCCGA
This 238-nucleotide ribosomal RNA is filed under the name uncultured bacterium. Its description in RNAcentral is "partial 16S ribosomal RNA". It matches the Rfam family "Bacterial small subunit ribosomal RNA", at positions 96 to 334 of the family's 1533-position model. The record is from RNAcentral.